AACCCCGGAAGUAAAGGCAGGAGCCAGGCGGGAAGAAGCGGCGCUGGGCUCAGAGCGUAGGAGGGGCCAGCGAGGCGCGUGCGCUGACCGAGCCACUGGCGCGCGUUUCAGUGCAGUAGGUGAAAGGCUCGCGGGACCAAGGCGUCCGUACAGCACUGUGUCGCGGAUAGAAGAUCAAGAGUCUAGGGAGUUUCUACUCGGGACAGGGCCUCUGUUUUUGCAGGCUCGUUGAGACAAGGAGGUGUGCAUCCGGAGGCUGCGGGGCUCGGCGCCCUCACGUUCUCCUGGCGGAGAUUGCAGCAGGCUCUAUUUAGGUGUCCUCCGCUCGACUCUUCGCUUUGGUUUGUUUUUCCUGUCGUCAGUGCAAAUGUUCACCAUUGUUGGCUCUCAAAAGCUGGUGACUGGAUAGAAUGGCUUAUAGAUAACAGCUGCAACAAGUCAGACCUCAGCUCUGCUCUAAGGGAGUCCACAGACUAUGGGGGGAGAGCAUAAAUCAAUAAAUGAAUAUAUUAUGUAAUAGUAGGGAGAAGACAAGGUGCUCUAACCAGAACGUGGGAGAGUGGAGCCUACCCUGCAAGCUACAGAGCCUGUUUGUAUCCUGGCUGGCUGGAUUCUGCUGUCCUCCUGUAUAAGAAAUAAGCAAACAGUAUAAAGAAAAAGAAUUUAAUAGUUUGAUCAAACUGCCCUUGGUCUUAGGGAAGCAGUUACAAUUUGUAGGAACAGAAGUCAGGAGAUAUAUGUGUGUGUGUGUGUGGUUGUGUAUAAUUUAUUUAUUUGCCGGGCUAUACUAACUAGAGGACAUGUCAUUUUCAGCUUUCUUGACCACUGCCAGGGACAUGGGGUAAAGUUUCCAUUCUCAGCAUGAGGAAGUUGGGGAGCUAAAACAAUUCAGCCUUUAAGUUCAAAGGGAUCUCUGUUUCAGUAGGAUUACCAUGAACUGCUCUUCUGAAGUGAGGUUUUGCACUGAGAACUGUACAAUGAGCCAGCUUUGUGACUGUUUCAGGCGGAAGGGUAGGCAUGGGAUUUUACUGUUUGUGUAAGGAUUGGUAGUCUGGAUCUUACCAGUCAGGACCUAUAUUAAGAGAUCUAGGGUUGGGGAUGCGGUUCAAGCAUACUCGCCUGGCAUGCGCGGGGCACUGGAUUCGAUCCUCAGCACCACAUAAAAAUAAAAUAAAGAUGUUGAAUUAAAAAAUUCUCUCUCAAAAAAAAAUCCAUAUGGAUGGACUUCGGAGAACCAUGAACUAAUAGAGUUGAUAAAAUACUAUACAUAUAUGUAUUUUUGUGGGCUGAAGAUAUACAACAUUUAUCAGGGUCUUGUUCAUUUGAUUUUUUGAGAUGGGGUCUCUAUUAUCCAAGCUAGUGUAUAAUUUUUUUAAAAAAAUUUUUAGUUGUAGAUGGACACAAUACCUUUAUUUAUUUGUAUGUGGUGAGGAUUGAACCCAGUGCCCCACAUGUGCAAGGCAAGUGUUCUACCACUGAGCUACAACCCCAGCCCUAGUCUAGGAAUUUUUGAGCUCAAGUUCUCCUCCUGCCUCAGCCUCCCAGUAGUUGGGACUAUAGGCCUACAUGCUUGCCCCAUCAUGGGCCCUCCAACCCCAGGAUCUCAGGAGAGCCAGUUAAGAAUCUUUAAAGCUGGGCAUGGUAAUGCAUUGCCUGUAAUGCCAGCUACUUGGGAGGCUGAGGCAGGAGGAUUUUAAGUUCAAGGCUAGCCUGGGCAAUUUAGCAAGAUCCUGUCUAAAAAUAAGAUGAAAAGGACUGGGGAUGUAGCUUAGUGAUACAGUGCUUGGCUCGCAGAUGAGAGGCCCUAGGUUCAAUUCCCUACCAUGAAUAAAUAAAUAGAUGGGGGUGGGGAAGAAAGGUUAAUGAGCCAGGCAUGGUGGUGCAUGUCUGUAAUCCCAGUGGCUUGGGAUGCUGAGGCAGGAGGAGCCAGUCUCAGCACUUAGAGAGACCCUGUUUCAAAAUUAAAAAAGGGCUGGGGGUGUGGCUCAGUGGUUUAGGUGUCCUAGGUUUAAUCCCUGGUAUCAAAAAAAAAAAGGUUAGUGAAUGUGUAUUAAGGAGUCUUUGGUUAGUUCCACUUUCAGGCUACUUUUUAAAUUUUUUUGGUACCAGGGAUUGAACUCAGGGUCACACUACCACUGAGCCAUACCCCCAGCCCUAUUUUGUAUUUUAUUUAGAGACAGGGUCUCACUGAGUUGCUUAGCACCUCGCUGUUGCAGAGGCCGGCUUUGAAGUCGAUACUCCUGCCUCAGCCUCAGCCUCACGAGCGGAGCCACUGGGAUGACAGGCAUGCGCCACCUCGCCUGGCUUCAGUAUACUAUUACAAAAUGUCAAUGCUCAUCGAUGCUGUGCUGAGUGAAGGACCCUGCAGGGCAGUACUGACAUUGCUCACCUGCCCUCUGGAAAGACCUGUGCACCUGCUUUCAUAUGAUCAUUUCAGAUUAAAAUACCAUUUAUCUGAGACUGAAAAAAUGAGCACCGCAGGGGCCUCUCCCAAGCGCCUUUGAAAAGGCCAAACCAGAAUCCACUGGUUAGAGAAAACAGUAUAAAUAGUUCAGACUGCUGCAGAGAUGUUCUCCCAUAAUAUUUCCUCGAAACUGAAGACUUUUUUUUUUUUUUUUUUUUAAUCCAGGGACAUCUUAUCAUUGAGCUUUCCCAGUCUUUUUAUUGUAAGGGUCUUGCUAAGUUACCCAGGCUGGCCUCAGACUUGCAAUUCUCCUGCUUCCGCUUCCCGAGUUGCUGGGAUUACAAGUGUGUACCAUUGGCUCUAGCAAGACUCUUUAAGUAAAACGAUUUUUGUGAAAUGUAUACCCCCGAGAUGAUCCCCAUGUCUGGGUUGAUGGUAUUUGGAAGUGAGACCUUUGGGAGCUAUUUAGGGUUAGAUGAAUUGAGGAAGGGGCCCUCUUGGUGGGCUUUGAGAGAUCUGAGCUGAUGCACACUUGCUCAAUGUUGUCUUGUGAUGCCCUUUACCAUCGGAUGAUGCAGCAAGAGGGUCCUCAGCAGACUUCAGCUUCAUGUUCUUGGACUUCCCACUCCAAAACUGUUAGCCAAAUAAACUGUUCUGUGUAAAUUA
Ictidomys tridecemlineatus (thirteen-lined ground squirrel) is the source of this 3070-nucleotide long non-coding RNA. RefSeq lists it as uncharacterized. The record is from RefSeq and is a predicted model, not a curated record. Lineage: Eukaryota; Metazoa; Chordata; Mammalia; Rodentia; Sciuridae.